This 253-nucleotide ribosomal RNA is filed under the name uncultured bacterium. RNAcentral describes it as "partial 16S ribosomal RNA". It matches the Rfam family "Bacterial small subunit ribosomal RNA", at positions 524 to 776 of the family's 1533-position model. The record is from RNAcentral.
GACGAACCGUGCGAACGUUGUUCGGAAUCACUGGGCUUAAAGGGCGCGUAGGCGGGUAACCAAGUCAGGGGUGAAAUCCGGCAGCUUAACUGUCGAACAGCUUCUGAUACUGGAUGUCUUGAGGGGGGUAGGGGCAUGUGGAACUUCCGGUGGAGCGGUGAAAUGCGCAGAUAUCAGGAGGAACACCGGUGGCGAAGGCGGAUCUCUGGGCCGUAACUGACGCUGAGGAGCGAAAGCAUGGGGAGCGAACAGG